CAUAUAGGUUGUAGGGAACUGAAAAGGGACCGACCCUUCGGGAGCCUAUACAGGUGUUGCAUGGCUGUCGUCAGCUCGUGUCGUGAGAUGUUCGGUUAAGUCCGCUAACGAGCGCAACCCUCGUCGUAUGUUAUAUGUGUCAUACGAGACUGCCGGUAAAAGCCGGAGGAAGGUGAGGAUGAUGUCAAGUCAGCAUGACCUUUAUAUCCAGGGCUACACACACGCUACAAUGGUCUGUACAAUGGGUAGCCAAGCUGCGAGGCGGAGCCAAUCCUGAAAGCAGGCCUCAGUUCAGAUUGCAGUCUGCAACUCGACUGCAUGAAGCCGGAGUUGCUAGUAACCGCAGGUCAGCAAUACUGCGGUGAAUACGUUCCCGGGUCUU
This 382-nucleotide ribosomal RNA is filed under the name uncultured Anaerolineaceae bacterium. Its description in RNAcentral is "bacterial SSU rRNA". It matches the Rfam family "Bacterial small subunit ribosomal RNA", at positions 985 to 1382 of the family's 1533-position model. The record is from RNAcentral. Lineage: Bacteria; Bacillati; Chloroflexota; Anaerolineae; Anaerolineales; Anaerolineaceae.